AUACGAAGGGGGCUAGCGUUGUUCGGAAUUACUGGGCGUAAAGCGCGCGUAGGCGGAUUGGUCAGUUAGGGGUGAAAUCCCAGGGCUUAACCCUGGAACUGCCUCUAAUACUGCCAGUCUUGAGUUCGGGAGAGGUGAGUGGAAUUCCUAGUGUAGAGGUGAAAUGCGUAGAUAUUAGGAAGAACACCAGUGGCGAAGGCGGCUCACUGGCCCGAUACUGACGCUGAGGCGCGAAAGCGUGGGGAGCAAACAGGAUUAGAAACCCUAGUAGUCC
Molecule: ribosomal RNA, 274 nt
Filed under: uncultured bacterium
Lineage: Bacteria
Description: partial 16S ribosomal RNA
Rfam family: Bacterial small subunit ribosomal RNA
Source: RNAcentral